Long non-coding RNA from Ostrinia nubilalis (European corn borer), 2568 nucleotides. RefSeq lists it as uncharacterized. The transcript has 2 exons. NCBI's taxonomy places the organism in Eukaryota, Metazoa, Arthropoda, Insecta, Lepidoptera, Crambidae. The record is from RefSeq and is a predicted model, not a curated record.
UUCCAACUAACCGCAAGGAAGUUCGAAUGUUUUUGGGUACUGCAUCUUGGUACCGGAAAUUCAUUCCAAACUUUAGUACGCUAGCUAGUCCCUUAAAUAAAUUAACCAGCCAAGGUAAGAACGCUCCACCUUUUGUAUGGUCCGAAGAAGCAAAUAGCGCUUUUUUAAAAUUGAAAAAAUGUCUCGUGUCCACGCCAAUUCUUUCUUGUCCCGAUUAUGCUAAGCCUUUUGAAGUGCAUACCGACGCAAGUGAUUAUGGUAUGGGAGCAAUACUAACCCAAACUGUCGAUGGCACUGAAAGGGUCAUAGCAUAUAUGAGUAAAUCAUUUUCAAAACCAGAACGCAACUAUAGCACCACCGAACGCGAAGCGUUAGCUGUGCUAACAGCUAUUGAGCACUGGCGUUGCUAUCUGGAAAACGGACAAAUGUUUACCGUAUAUACGGAUCAUUCUUCCCUAAAAUGGUUUCUCAACCUCAAUAAUCCAACAGGAAGAUUAGCCAGGUGGGGAGUAAGACUCUCCACCUACAAUUUUACCAUUAAACACCGUAAAGGUACUGAGAACGUGGUACCAGAUAGUUUGUCUCGCGCUGUCCCAAUAUCCGCUAUCGAUACUUCGGCAGACUCGCUGACUCAGAAAACCAAAGAUGACUGGUUUUUAAAUAUUGUUGAAGGAUGUAUUAAAUCACCAACAUCAUUUCCCAACUACCGAUUUCAAAACGGAAAACUUUUCAGAUUCAUUAAAUCUGUUAACCCCUUAACCAGGGAGUUUGAGUGGAAGGAGGUAGUUCCAUUGGAGUUACGACGGAAAAUAAUAUUUGAAAAUCAUUCUGAACCCACGUCAGGCCAUUUCGGAAUUUUUAAAACACAUAAACGUGUUAGUUUAACUUAUUUUUGGCCAAACAUGCACAAUGAUGUAGUCGAAUUUGUAUCCAGUUGCGAUACCUGCCUUUCGCAUAAGCACCCUAAUCACUCAACUCUGGGUACAAUGGGGAGGCCUAAAGAUUGCAGUAGGCCAUUCCAAAUGUUGAGCGUAGAUCUUGUUGGGCCCUUGCCCGUAUCUAGAAAGCAAAAUACCUUCUUGCUGGUUAUAACGUGUUGCUUUUCUAAAUAUUGCCUUCUAUUUCCCAUUCGUCGAGCAACUUCUGAUAUUAUUUCAAAGAUAAUUGAAGAUAAAGUAUUUCUCAUUCACGGGGUACCGAGCACUAUUUUAAUGGAUAACGGACGUCAAUUUACCAGCCUCACGAUGAAAAAAUUAUUUGAAAAUUAUAAUAUCCCAAAUGUUUUUUAUACCCCUUUAUACACCCCACAAAUAAACACAGUAGAACGUUAUAAUAAGACCAUAAUGACGGCAGUUUCUACAUUUAUUGACGGCGACCAUAGGGUUUGGGACUCUAACAUUUCCAAGAUUCAAUUUGCGUUAAACAGCGCCGUAAAUGAGGUGACAGGGUUUACACCAUCAUUUUUGGUCUACGGGCGCGAGCUUGUUAGCUGCGGUUCACAUUACGUGGACUCGGACCUGGAAAACCAAAUAAUUUUCUCUCCACGCGAUGCCUACGCUGAAAACCUUGGUGUGUUGCAUAAAUUAUUUGACAAAGUACAACUGUCAUUAAUUAAAGCACACUCAAGAAAUAGUACUAACUAUAACCUUCGCCGUAGGAACGUGGACUUCAACGUGGGUGAUAUCGUUUGGAAAAGGACCUUUUACCAAAGCGACAAAGACAAUAAAUUCUCUAAAAAGUUAGCCCCUAAAUUCUUAAAAUGUCGUAUUGUUACAAAAAAAUCGAAAUUAGUAUACGAACUUGAAGACAUGGCAGGACGCAAUUUAGGUACCUGGCAUGUAAAAGAUUUUAAGCUAACCUAGAAAUCAGAUUGCUUUAGGAUUAAUGGAUUUUUUUAGAAAAAUCCUAACCUAAAAAGGGGGGUAUGUAACGGUUCGUUACACGAAGAGUAACAAAAUAAAGUAAAAGUUAACAAAAAAAUAAAAUUUUAAUUAUAACUAAAAACUAAUUAAAAAUAUACUUACUUACUAAAACCUUAAUGACAAAAAUAAAAUAAAUAUAAACAAAAACUUAUACGUAAACUCGGGCGCAAAUGACGUUUUAAAUAUCUGUGAGCGCGAACGAUGAGUGAACGAAGUGGAAACAGGUUCGCCCCGGUUUAGAAUAAACCGUCGAAACAUCGCGGCGGAGUCCGAGCGAAGUUAUCAUAACGCAAGGACGUACGGCUUUUGUACUAAAACUGCCAAGUCACGACGAGCUACGAGUCGUUAAAUUCACUUUUUAACAAUUUCUACAAAUCUAAGUUGUGUUGUGUUACCCCAAUAUCGGGGUCCCCGUUCCGGGUUUCAAACACUUCUCUCCGUGGAAGUUUGGGGCAAGAUUGCUGCCUUGGACAAUCAAGCCUGGUGGACCUGGGCUGCCACCGAGAACAGUUUUACGCCUACCGGAAAUCGGAAGAUCAGUACCGUGGCCUUGAUUAUUUCUGGGACUUUGUGUCGCUCGGUUGCCAAUUAUUGACCCACUACCUGAACCUUCGUAAAUUAGAUUUAAUAAACCUUUUGUUGUACA